This is a long non-coding RNA of Solanum dulcamara, 11196 nucleotides long. RefSeq lists it as uncharacterized. The record is from RefSeq and is a predicted model, not a curated record. Lineage: Eukaryota; Viridiplantae; Streptophyta; Magnoliopsida; Solanales; Solanaceae. The transcript has 2 exons.
AAACCCAUUUAGCCUUCUUUCAGAAAACCCUUCUUCCCUCUACUUCAACAAAGAUCGAGCUCUUUCACAAGACUUCUGGAAAAGUUCUCAGGCAAAAUAACAACCUUCUGGUGAACGAGGAACUCUCUGGCAAAGCUCCAGUGGUCCUCUUUGAUUACAACUUUUCCUACAAUGUGAAGCUCCAGUGGUCUUUUGCAUAUAAGGUUACUAUUUUUUAAGUUUUCCCUAUUUGUCCACGAUUUCAGAACUCCCAAAUACUAUUUUGCAAAAUCAGAAAGUCCAUUGAAUGAUUUUUGAAAAAUCUUAAAGAAUAGCAUAUGGGUUUGUCUGAAAUCUAUGGGUCUGAAAUCUAUGUUAUUUGUUCUAAUUUAGGUAUGCCAUAAAAUCUAUUUGUGAUUUAGAGCUUGUAUUUCAAGUUUUGAUAACUCUGUACGAAAAGUAUUUGAGAGGAUGGGUUUUAAUUUUAUGACUCAAAUUCUGAUUUGUUGUUGAUUUUCUACUUAAGUUUUGAGAAUUUUGAUUUCUGUUUUGAGUUAGGUAUAUCAAUGUGAACUGAAAUUCUUUGUUGGUUUAAAGUUUGAAAGUAUUUUGCUGUACUUAGGCUUUUUCAGAUUUUGUUCUCCCUCUUGCUUUUGAUCAAAUUUUCUUGUUUAGGCUGCCAGAAAAAGUGAAUUUUCGUAAUUCUUCUGUAAUAUUUGGGCAUUUCAUUUUGUGGGUAUUCCUAAUACAAAACGAUAUAUCAAGUAGAACUGUCAAAAGGGUAAAUUUUUUAUUUUGCUAUCCCUAGCCUAAUCCACAACCUGUUAAGAGCUAGUUAUGGAGUAGGAGUGACCACUAAAAAAGCUCUUCUUGAUUGUAUUUUCAAGGUGGCAUUGAGGUAACCUGAAUCAGUUCUUCUUAUUUCUUCUUUCAGUUUCACACCCAUUCCAAAAGAUUCAAUUUUUUAUACUGGAGUUAUACUAUGGAGCUCUUCUUGAUUGUGUUUCUAUUGAGGCAUUGAGGCAACCAGAAUUGGGUCUUCUUGUUUCUUCCUUUUUGGUUAAUACAUUUUUUCAUGUGGAGUUGUAGAACCUGAAUUGGGUCUUCUUUCUUUCUUCCUUUGGGUCACACCCAUUUCAAAAGAUACAAUUUUUCAUGGGGAAAGCGCAGUAAAUAGAUCUUCUUGACUGUGUUUUAAUGGUGGAUUUGCAUUAAAAAGCUCUUCUUGAUUGUGUUUUUAUGAUGACAUUGAGGUAACCUUAAUUGGGUCUUCUUGUUUCUUCCUUUUGGUUCACAUCCAUUUCAAAAGUAGUAAUUUUUCAUGGUGGAGUUGCACUUCUAGUUGUUCUUCAUUGUAUUUUUGUGGUGUCAUUGAAGUAACCUAAAUUGGGACUUCUUGUUUCUUUCUUUUGGUUCAUACCCAUUUCAAAAGUUUCAAUUUUUCAUGAAAGUUCAAAUGUGUUGUUCUAACCAAUCGGUGAAAAUUCAAUUCAAUUGGAUUGAGGUUAAAGCUUGUGGCUAAAUUUUUUAUUAAGUUUCUGAGUUUAUGCUUGCUAUGUAAUACUAAUAUAAAAACAUUCAUGUCUCACAAUAUGAAUGAAAAUCCAUUGUUGGUUGGAAGCAUCUUUUGACCUCUCGAUACUACACGUCUUCCUUGAUCACCAGGUAACGUAUCCAUUUAUAUUUGUUUGAACUUUAUAAAAGAACAGUAAGUGCAACUGUAGAAGCAAAAAGAAAUUAACAUCAUCCAAACUGUAGAAAGAAUACAAACAUCUCAAUCAUGUUUCAACCUACGAUAAUAAAUGUUGAAUAAUUGGAAAGGACCAUUCAUAUGAUCAGGUGUCAUGAGAAGAGACAACCAGUAAUUGAUGGAUAGUUAGGCUUAUGCACCAUAAUUCCUUGACUUGAAGUUAUUCACUCUUGAGUUGCAAUUAUUAAGCAAAUCAUGUAAUACAUACCCAGUGAAUAAUCUUAUUAGGACUUACAUAUGAUGUUAAAGUUCAAUUAGAAGGGUAGAAUAACAUAAAUAAUUUUCUAUCAUGAAAUAACAAGUCAUACAAAUAUUUAUUUCAUAGUUAAGAUCCUGAAUGAACUCUCUAUCCUUUACCUGCUUGGCCAACAGAUCAUUCAAUUUUUUUUUCCUUUUUUUCCUCUUUAACAUAUGAUUACAUGAGAUUUGUUUAAUCAAGUUUGCACAUGAAAUCUUGUGUAGCCUGUCUUGUUAUCCUAUUGUCUUCUUUGUUACUUGUCAAACCUUGAUCAAUAUGUGAUUAUUUUUUAUUUUAGCGACAAAUUUUAGUUUUGUAUGAUGCUCCUAUGUUCUAUGUUCUAUGUUCUAUAUGUAUAAUGUAUUACCUUAAUGUUUUUGAGGUAGAUCAAAUAAAAAGUGUUAAGUUAUGUUAUCUUGUCCUCAAUGCUUUUAAAAAAUAAAACUUGAAGUUAUAAUGACGUGAAUUUCUUAUUUUGUGGUAGGUAUUUUGGGCAAGAGUCAAGACUUAUUGUUUCAACAAUAUGUUUGUAUACAAUCCAAAGCUAACUAGAUAGCGUAGAAUGUUGGAAUACUAGCUUUCUAUAGCUAGUUUUGUUUUUGAUUCUUUGCCAUCCAUUUGUCCAAAGCUUCUUAAAUGGUAGAGGCUAUUAUAACACUUAACUUCUCAAUAUUUGUUGUGUUGUACUAUUAACACUGCCAUGUUUGGUGUUCAAUUAAUGUAGAGGUUUGAGAUUUAAUUAAUAAUUCAAGAUAAUCUGAAACUUUGAAAGGUUAAGUUCCCCGGAUAUUGCACAUGUACUCAUUAAUUUGUUGGCUAUAAUGUUUUGCUCAUGCCAGGUAGGAUAUUGGAGAUAAAAGUUGGAUAGAUCUCCGAAGAUCCACCAAUGAAUAUAUUCAUGGAGUUAAUGAUUUUCUUGAUAAGGCAUUUGAAUGAGCUUCUCAAGGAAAUGAAAUAUUAUGCCCUUGUAAGAAGUACUUUAAUCGUAAUUAGUAUUGUCAAAAUGUGGUGGAGGAUCACUUGAUUUUUCAUGGAUUUGUGUAUGGAUAUACCAAAUGGGGUUUUCCAUGGAGAAGGGUUUUCCUCAAGAAAUACGCCUCAUCCAACCAAUGAUGAUGAAACUUCGAACAUGCAUGAAGAUAUUGAUAAACUACUUCAUGAUACUUUUCAAAAUGUAGAAGAUGAUCUAAGGCAUAAAGGAGCGUGAGAGGGACAAUUUGAAGAUGCGUGUUUUUUUAAAAAAAUUAGUGGAGGACGGAAAACAAGAGUUGUAUCCAGGGUGUAAAAUUUUUUCUAAGUUGAGUUUUAUCAUCCGGUUAUACUUAAUUAAAUGCAUUCACAGAUUGAGUGAUAUGGCCUUUUUAGACUUGUUAGACUUGAUGAAAGAGGCAUUUCCAUUUGCUCAGAUACUCGAGUCUUUUUACACGGCAAAAAAGGUGAUAAAAGAUUUGAGUCUUCGUUAUGAGAAAAAUUGUGCAUGCACUAACAAUUGAGUGUUAUUUUGGAAUGACAAUGCAAAGUUAAAUAAUUGCUUUGUGUGUGGAUCUUCAAGAUUGAAGAAUGUGCGAAAUGACUUAACUAAUAAGAUCACUAAAAUUCCGAUGAAGAUUUUAAGGUACUUUCCUUUAAAGCCUAGGCUUCAGAGGAUAUUCAUGUGUUCUAAAACAUAUAUAGCUAUGAGAUGGCAUGAUACUGAGCGACUCAAAGAUGGAAAUUUAAGACAUCCUGCUGAUGGAGAAGCUUGGAAGGAUUUUGAUUCCUUGCACCCUGACUUUGCAAAUGAUGCUCGUAAUGUUAGAUUGGGUCUUUCAAGUGAUGGAUUCAAUCCACUCCGAACUAUGAGCAUUUCCCAUAGUACGUGGCUGGUUACGUUAAUGAAUUAUAACCUAUCACCAUGGAUUUGCAUGAAGCCGGAGUAUAUAAUGUUGUCAUUCCAGGUCCAUCGUCUCCUGGAAAUGAUAUUGAUGUAUACUUACAAACACUGAUUGCGGAGUUGAAGGAACUAUGGGAAGUGGGAAUGAAAACAUAUGAUGUUGUAACUAACUAAACAUUUAUUAUGCGUGCAGCUUUAUUGUGGAAAGUUAGUGAUUUUCCAGCACUAGCAAUGCUUUCUGGAUUGAGUACCAAGGGGAGAUGGGCAUGUCCCACUUGUAAUCGUAAUACUUGUUUCCAAUAUCUCAAGUAUAGUCAUAAGAUGUGCUACAUGGGUCAUCGUGCAUUUUUUCCUCCUGAUCAUCCAUUUAGAAGAGAUAAAAAUUUAAUUGAUGGUAAAGAGGAGCAUAAAGCUGCACCUACUCCCUUAUCAGGUGUACAAGUGCUUGAAGAACUUUGUGAAUUCAAUAAUAUUUUUUGGAAAGAGCCAAAAACAAGAAAAUGAAAGAAUGAUGGCCCAUGGAAAAAAAAUCAUAUUUUUUGAAUUGCCAUAUUGGACAACCAACAAAUUGAGGCACAAUCUUGAUGUGAUGCACAUAGAGAAGAAUAUUUGUGAUGGUUUACUUGGGACUUUAUUGGAUAUACUUGGAAAGUCCAAAGAUCGCAUAAAUUCAUGCUAUGACUUGCAUGAGAUGGGGAUACACCAAGAGCUUCAACCAAUAGAAGAUUGUGAUACUGGAAACAUUCAUCUGGCUAAGGCUAGUUUCUCCAUGAAACCACAGGAGAAGAGAUUAUUUUACACUACUUUAAAAGAUGCCAAAUUAUCAAAAGGGUGUGCUUCUAAUAUAUCAAGUCGUGUGCAAAUUGAAGAGAUGAAAGUAUCAGUACACAAAAGCCAUGAUGCACAUUUCCUAAUGCAUUACUUGCUCCAAAUUGCAGUUAGGAAAGUGUUACCCAAGAAUGUGUCUUUGGUAUUGAUUAGGUUGGGAACCUUUUUAGAGCCAUAUGUAGUAAGGUUAUUAGAAGAAGCGAUCUUGAUAACAUGAAGGAUGAAAUCAUAGAUAUACAAUGUGAGCUUGAAAAGAUUUUUCCUCCAUCCUUUUUUGCUAUAAUGACACAUUUGCCUGUUCAUCUAGUAGAUGAAAUUAAGUUUGGGGGCCCGAAUCAUUUGCGUUGAAUAUAUCCUACUGAAAAAAAUAUGUGUAACUUCAAGGGGCUUCUUCAUAAUCGAAAAAAUCACGAAGGAUCAAUAGUAGUUGUAGAGUGUUUGACCUUUUUUUUGAGAUACCUACCUGAUGGGGUAAAGAUAAGAUUAAGUAGGUACCAAACUGAGGAUGAUGAUGACAUUCCAACAGAGGAAGAUAAUGUUUCACCUUUAUUUCCUAACACAGGUCAUCCAAUCAGAAGUAAGAAUAAAAGGAAAGGCAAGACUUUUGAUAUGGUGCAUCUUGAGUGCUCUGAAGCACAUCGAUAUGUUUUGCUCAGUACCAGAGAUGAACAAGUAGAUAAAUUAGUCAUGUAAGUUAAAAUAGUCAUUUGAUUUGGAAGUUCAUUUAUAUGUUAUGAUAAUGUGUUUUGAAUUUCAUUAAAUCAGUAUAAAUUGAUUAAAUUGCAAUACAUGCAUGCAGGGAAUAAAAGAAUAUAAUUGAUAAUCAUACUAGAGGAAAUGCAUGGGAAAAGCACAGAUCCAUAGUAAAGAAAUUGGCAAUUGGUUUAGGGACAAAGUUAAAAAUAUUGAAGUGUCCAAUCAUUUGUGAUGGCUAUCUAAAGGGCCUAAUUUUGUGGCUAAAAAAUAUAGUGGAUAUUUCAUUAAUGUAUAUCAACUUAAUACGAAGACAUGGGAUUCCUCUUGCAAGACUCAAAAUAGUGGAGUGACUUUGUCAGCAACAACGGAUAGUAUUGCUAGUGCUAGGGACCAAAAUUCUGUCAAUGAAAUGGUUAUCUAUUAUGGAAUUAUUUAGGAUAUCAUUGAGAUUGAUUAUUGGGGUUGUUUUAGUGUUGUGCUUUUCAAAUGUGACUGGUUUUAUAAUGAAUUUGAUCAAUAUGGCUUGACACGGUAUACUUCAACAAAACAUGUAGCACAAAUGAUUCUUUAGUGCUAGCUUCUCAAGUACAUCAAGUUUUCUAUGUGGAAGACCCAAUUGAGAAUAAUAUUUAUUAUGUAAGAAAUAAAGUCCCACUGGAUUUGUAUGAUUUGGAGGAAGAGAAUUUUCCUAAUAUUGAAGAAACAUUUUGGAAGGAGACUAAUGAUGAUAUUGGUUCAUCAGAAAGAUUACUCGAUGUAGAUAUUAGAUGGACGAGAGAAGAUCUCCCUAUUGAUAUCAUUGAUGUGCCUACCCUUUCACAUUCAUGAGAUAUAGCUAUCAAAGAAUCGGAAGAGGAGGAAGACUUUGAUGAUACUGAUUGGGAUUGGAUGGAGGCUGAUGAUUGACAAAGAAUCUUCAGAACUAGUUCAGAUACAUUCUCUUCUUCAUUAUUUUUGUACAUUCUUCUUUCUAAAUUUCUCUGAGGAAUCUUCAACUUUGCAGUGGACCAGCCAAACUCGAGGUUUUGAUCUCUUUAUUUCUGAUAUUCUGAUUUCUGCUCAUUUGCUGCUGCUAGAUGCUUAAUUUCUGCUUAUUUAUUGUGUAAUAUGUGUUUCCUAUAUAUGUUGGAACUAUAGUUAUAUUAGUUAUUAAGAUUCUGUAUUUAUUUCUUUGAUAUACUUCUCUUUGCAUCUUUCGGCAUUUUUCUAAAAUCUCAUUGGGUCCAUUGAAUAGCAGGCUCUAUAAAGAUAAAUUUUAAACUGUGAAUUCAUGUAUGGUGUGGAACUAAGAAUAGUAGUAACAUAAAUGAAUGUUGUGUAUCUGUUGAAGGUGUUGUAGCAAAGUUAGAUUUUCUGCAGGAAUAUCUUAGCAUCAUCAUUUCUACCAUGUUUGCAUAAUCCAUUAAUAAUAGAGCUAAUUAUUAUGACAUUUGGAUUCAAUCCCUUUUCUCUCAUCCCAAAAUAUGCUUUAAAAUCUUUCUCAGGUAAUCAUUCUUUAAACUAAUCAGCAAUAAGGGCUCCAUAUGUAACAAUGUUAGGGGUUAAUUCCCUAUCAUGCAUUUAACUAAAAAGAUGUUUGACUUUUCUAAACACUCCAGCCUUUAUAAAUCCACUAAUAAGGGAGUUAAAAUUUUCAAUCGAAGCAGGAAUAUUCUGCUGUUCCAUGACAUCCUUUAGUUUUAAAGCUUUUUCAAUCUCUCCUACUUUACAAUAUCCAUCACUUAGGGUCCUAUAAGAGAGUACUACAUCCAACUGCAUUCGGAAUAACACCUCUUUUAAGCAUAAAAUUCUAAAGAUGCAGAGCAUCAGCAAUGCGAUAUAAUCCUUUUAGCAAAGUGUUGUAAGUUACAUCUGUUGUAACUUUAUACUCACGUACUGAUUCAGCUAGAUCUAGCAAGAAGCUUUUGUUCAAAUUUUGUAUUUGUAUUGACACAUUGCAUGACCUCUUCUUGUUUGUUCUUCAAACUUUCAUUGCUUUUGUUAUUCAUAUUUGAAAAUUCUGCACGAAGGGGCAUCAUAUAAACACAAAAAUGAGGUAAGUGAUGGCUUGGGUUUACUGGAAAAAAAUGUGAGGAAGUUGAAGCAUUAUUUUGCCCAUGGAUCUUUGUUGUUGCUUCCUUUCCACCUGGAAUAUCCCUUAAGAGUAUAUUUUGUUUUUCAGUUCUCUGUCUCAUAUAAACGAUAUGAUUUUUAAACAGAGAGACAUAUGUGGUUUCAAAUUUUACUUAUAAAAGUGUGUGAUUUGUAAGAUCUCUGUGAUUCUGUUUAAGUGCAAGUGUACUCUGCCAGUCAUGAGUCAGCAAGAGUUUUCGAAAAAAAAAAAAAAGAAGAAGAUAUAUGCUAAACCUGGAUUGUUAUCAUUCUUUGGCAAAUAAAUAACGACGGUUAUUGAAAACAAAUGAAAUUGUUCAAGCUAUAGAGUCAGAGAAAGGACAACUGCUUAAAUUAAUUGAUAAAAAACAACCAGUAGCACCACAAUCUAAAGUAAAUGGACAAUCUGCCGAGGAGCAGCCUUUUGAGCAGCAACCUGUUGAGGAUCAAGUGCAAAUAAAUUCUCUCACUCCUCCAACAGAUGAACAACCUGAAGAACAAGGUAGCAUAUAAGCUUAGAAACUUACUAAAUUUAUCCAUGAUUUCUAAUUUAUUAUAUUUUCUUUUAGCUGAAGGCAUUUCCACUCAAAAUAAAAGAGGUAAAACGCAAAUGCAUAAAGUACAUAGCCGAAAAGAGCAGUCCUAUCACUUACCUGGGGUGUCCUCUCUACAUUGGCAGGCAAAAAGUCAUCUACUACUUAGAGCUUACUGCUAAAGUUGUAGCUAGGAUUACAGGUUGACAAGCCAAAAUUCUCAGUUAUGGAGGAAGGGUUACACCUAUUAAACAUGUAAUUCAAGCCCUUCCUAUCCAUUUGCUUUCAGCUGUUUCUCCACCAUUAACUACCAUCAAGAAAAUUCAAAGUAUCACAGAAAACUUCUUCUGGGGAUAGAAAAAUGACAAGAGGAGAUACCAUUGAUCCUCUUGGAUGAAUCUAAGUUAUCCAUAUGAUGAAGGAGGUAUUGGUGUGAGACAAAUUUCAGAUGUGGCUAAAUCUUUCCAAUACAAACAGUGGUGGAACUUCAGAACUAAGAACACUUUAUGGGGUAAGUUCCUCAAAGCCAAGUAUUGUCAAAGGUAUAAUCCUACCACAAAAAAGGACAUACUGGACAAUCACUGGUCUGGAAACAUUUGAUGAAGAACAAGCACAAAGUUGAACCUCAUAUCCAAUGGCAAAUCCAGUCUGGUUCAUGACUCUUUUGGUGGGAUAAUUGGUUGGGAAUUGGACCAUUAGCAAACUACAGAUCUGCAAGUACCAGAAUGAACAACACUAAGGUCUCUUCUUUCUUGAUCAAUGGCCAAUGGAAUGUAGACCUGGUUAUUAAAGAAGCUCCUUCUCAGUUUGUUUCUAACAUUAUGGGAACUCCCAUAAAUUAUCACCCUCACAAGCCUGAUCAAGCAUCCUGGACACACAACAGCAGUGGGGAGUUUAGCUUCUCCUCUGCAUGGGAUCUUAUCAGGGACAAUAGGAAUAAGACAAGGAUCAAUUCUCAAACUUGGCACAAGCACAUACCUUUUAAAUGCUCUUUUCUGCUAUGGAGAGCACUUAGAGGGAAGCUACCAACCAAUGAGAAUCUCAUCAGCUUUGGAAAGUCCCCAUUUCAAUGCUACUGCUGCUACAAAUCUGGCCAGGACACCAUUGAUCAUGUUUUUGUUUCUAGACACUUUGCCAAGAAGACUUGGAGUGCAUUUGAAGACUUCCUGGGAAUAAACAAGGACUACACACCUCUUAGAAACUUAUUAAUGAGGUGGUGGUCGACCAAAUACAAGAAUGAUGUUCACAAGCUUAUCCUCCAAUCCAUCCCCAUCUUCAUAUGUUGGAACCUAUGGAAGAAUAGACGUGAUGUCAAAUAUGGUGGGAAACAAUCUAAUCUUGCAAGAGUGAUGUACUUAGUGUUCAAAGAGACAUCCAAUUUACUGAGAACUGCAUAGCCCUACAUCAGUUGGCCUACUAACUGGAAGGAACUGGUCCUUCUUGUGGACAAAUGCACUAAUGAAGUCAAAGUUAGCACUGUCUAUUGGAGGAAACCAUCAGCUCACAUGGUGAAGUUGAACACUGAUGGCAGUACACUCCACAAUCCUGGAAACAUAGGUUGAGGAGGACUGCUCAGAAACUCUCAAGGUGACCUUAUCUUUGCCUUUGCAGUCCCUUUUGGAGAAGGCACAAACAACCAGUCUGAGAUGCUGGCAGUCAUCUUUGGCUUAUCUUGGUGUCUUCAUUUUGGGUAUACAAAUGUGACCCUAGAAGUAGACUCUGAGUUACUAAUCAGAUGGCUAAAACAUCUAGCAAACCCCCCAUGGUCUGUCAAGGAACAUCUUCAGAAGCUGCAAAACAUCAGCUACUAAUUCCAUGUCUUCAGGUGUACCCACACAUAUAGAGAAGCCAACUUUACAGCUGAUACUUUGUCCAAACACAGACACAAAUGCUCUUCUCCACAGAUCUACCUUACUAAUCAAGAACUUCCCAAAGAAUAAAGAUCAUAUUUUGAAUUAGACAAACUGGAAAUGGCUAACUUUAGAAGAAGAAGACUCAAGAGGAUCAAGAAACCACCAUGAGCUCUCCAAUUCUUGAUGUACUGCUUGUUCUUUAUAUUGGCUGUUUAUAGCCUUUUGAAGAACUUAGAGUUAGGAUUAUAUUGUAAAGGGGAGAGUCUCCCUCAUUUAUUGCUUUCCUAAACUAACCAACUUACCACUAGAGGUAAGGACUAGAGUAGGUUCUUCUUCUUCUUUUCUGUUGCGUAGGUACAUUGCAGACCUGCAACAUUUGAUCCAACACAUGGACUUCCCUCCUUGUUUGCUUCUUUUGUGCAGGUACACUGCAGAGUUGCAGCAACUGAUCCAAUUCAUGGAGUUCUUCCAUUCCAAAGGGAGCACUGCAUGGUGUAGCCACCAGGAACAGCACUCAGCAACAACCUGCAACACCCUACUGUGGAGAAUACCAUGGUCUUCUAUCUUGAGCUUGGCAUUUGGAUGCCUUUGGUAGGUAUACUGCAGAGUUGCAGAUAGUUUCUAUGUUCCUCUCUUGUGCAGGUACUGCAGAACUGCAGCAUCCAACAACAAGUCUAUCAAAGCUGCAGUAGUGGAACUAAUCUUGGAGUUCUUCCAAUGUGCAUUCAUAAAAGCAACCCCAUGCAGAUACCACUCAUGUACACUGCAGGCCACAACACCUGAUCCAAUUCAUGGAGUGCUUCCAAUGCAAACAUUAUCCAAAGCUUAUUUCAAGUUAUUUAAGUACUACCAUAUACUUGAGUACACACAACCAAGUUACCUUGAGUUAGACAAACAAGGGAUGGCAAGAGUUAGAAGAACAAUGCAAACAUGUCUCCAAGAUGAUCAAGACACCAACAUGAGCUCCCAUACUUGAUGUGUUACUGAUUCUUCACAUUGGCUCUCUCUAUUAGUUAGUUAUAUCUCUUUUGAAGAUCUUGUAAUUAGCACUAUUUUGUAAAGGGAGAGUCUCCCUCGUUUAUCGCUUUCCAAGAUAUGUUGAAUUGAGAGGAGUCCUCUCAUAGGGUUUUUCUCUUUUCUUGUAAUUAGGAGGCACAUUAUUGUAUCGGGGAUGAGUUAGCCGACUCAUGAACCAACUUAAGAAUGGAGGUAAGGUUUAUGUCCCCCUCCUUGUAUUUUUCUAUUUUUUAUUUAUAAUAAGGCUUGGGGGUAUGCGGCUCAACCCCUGACCACCACGAGGGAUGAGAUCCUUGGGUAAGGUCUGUUCUCCAAAAAAAAAAAAAAAGAAAAGAAAA